Molecule: long non-coding RNA, 1154 nt
Filed under: Parus major (Great Tit)
Lineage: Eukaryota; Metazoa; Chordata; Aves; Passeriformes; Paridae
Description: lncRNA (ENSPMJG00000004321.1)
Source: RNAcentral
GGGAACCGGGAACCGGGACAGCCGGGGAACGGGGAACCGGGAACCGGGACAGCCGGGGAACGGGGGAGCCGGGGAACGGGAGAUGACCGGGGAACGGAGACAGCCGGGGAACGGGAGAUGACCGGGGAACUGGGAGAUGACCGGGGAACGGGAGAUGACCGGGAACCGGGACAGCCGGGGAACCGGGAACCGGGAACCGGGACAGCCGGGGAACGGGACAGCCGGAGAACGGGACACAACCGGGGAACCGGGACAGCCGGGGAAUGGAGACAGCCGGGGAACUGGGACAGCCGGAGAAUGGGACACAACUGGGGAACCGGAGACAACCGGGGACUGGGAGACGACCGGGGAACGGGACAGCCGGGGAACGGGACAGCCGGAGAACGGGACACAACCGGGGAACCGGGACAGCCGGGGAACCGGGACAGCCGGGGGGAUGGAGACAGCCGGGGAAUGGAGACAGCCGGGGAACCGGGACAGCCGGGAACCGGGAGACGACCGGGGAACGGGACAGCCGGGGAAUGGAGACAACCGGGGAAUGGAGAUAACCGGGGAAUGGAGACAGCCGGGAAGGGGGAGGUGACCGGGAACCGGGACAGCCGGGGAACCGGGAGAUGACCGGGGAACAGAGACAGCCGGGAACCAGAGACAACCGGGGAAUGGGAAACAACCGGGGGAACGGGAACAGACAACCGGCGGGAACAGGAGACAACCGGGGGAACGGGAAUAGACAACCGGCGGGAACAGGAGACAACCGGCGGGAACAGGAGACAACCGGCGGGAGCGGAAUCGAUCUGGUUUGACUGGAACCAACCCGGUGUGACCGGGAAAAGACAACCGGGGGGAACGGGAAUAGACAACCGGUGUUACCGGGAAUCGACCCGGUUUUACCGGAACCGCCCCGGUUUUAGCGGGAAUCGACCCGGUUUUACCGGAACCGACCCGGUUUUACCGGAACCACCCCGGUUUUACCGCGGAGCCGCCCCAGGGGUACCGGGCAGCGUGGCGGGGGUAGCGGGCCGCAUGGCGAGGGGACACCGGGAGGGUUCGGAUCGCGUCGGUUCCGGUACCGGGGAAAGGCCGGGAUGAGUUCGGUUUUUUGGUUCGGUACCGGGGAAUGCUCGCUUUGGGCACUGCUCGCUCUCGGGAUUUGC